This 1865-nucleotide long non-coding RNA is filed under the name Salvia miltiorrhiza (redroot sage). Its description in RNAcentral is "long non-coding RNA (SMIL_LNC013541)". The record is from RNAcentral. Lineage: Eukaryota; Viridiplantae; Streptophyta; Magnoliopsida; Lamiales; Lamiaceae.
CUUCGAACUUGUUCAAAAGUAACAACACGACGGAAUUAAAGUACGGAAAUGUAAAGUGUUUUUGAUGCCACACGCGGCGAAUAAAAGCAAUAACUGAUGAAAAGUAAAAUGUUCGGGGUGCCAAGAACUUCUUCACGUUGCACAACAUUAGCCUUUUAUACUGCCGAAUGGUAGAGGCCUAACCCUAGCUGCGCCGGUUCCAAAUCUUCGCCGGGAUCUUCUUUCCUUAAUUAGCUCGAUCUUUGAUUGAUCCUGAUUGAAGAUGGCGUCCAGCUGCAAGCUUAGUCAACCUUUCCCAUCCCUUCGGUCCUUCUAGUCUCUUCUUCAACCUUCCGCUUGUUCCAUGAGAUCUCCGAGAUUGACCUUCCUUUUAUGGCUCUGGCUGCCUGCUUCUUCCGGUAACGAUCAGAUCGACUGCUCUUAUCGGUGUGGCUCAUACCAGGUGGUUGCUCCAGGUUCCCAUGCCCCAAGUUGAAUUGGAGAGGUACUUGUUGGCCGAAGCUUUAUGCUGGUAAACAUGAUGUAGCAAUCUGGGCUUGGUAAGGCCCAUACUGACCGCAUUUCUUCCGUUUCCGCUCCACUGAUCUUCCUUCCUCCACAACUUUGUUUUCCCCCUGGACAGACCUGAACUGACACAAAUAAAGAGAAAAACAGGGCCAAAUGGCCCAAAAGUCGAAGACGCAUCACACCUACACACUUAAAGCAUACUUGUCCUCAAGUAUGUAGGUGGAUUCACAGAAGACACGGACGAAAAGGUUGAAAGAAAAGAAAUAAAACUAAGAGACACAAAACUUGCAUAGAUUUCAGGAUCAGAUCAUACCAACAUGCAUCAUUCAGUUCAGUCAAACCACAAAACCAGAGUAAUGAUCAUGCAUAAAGUGUGAUGGUAGUCUCUCUUCUCGCUCAAGCACCGGGUUAAGUGUUUACACUCAUAAUUUGCUGUGCUAGUUCCUCUAAGAGUUUGAUUAAAGACUACAAGUUAAGCACACUAGUAUGACUCAUCAAAGGGUCUUUGUUGGGUUGUAAUGGGGCAUACGGGGCUAAGGUGAGGUAAAUAUGGUUCAGUGGCUAAUUUCAGUAUCACCCUUACUCAGUAUACUCAUUCAGUACAGCUAUAACCAACCCUCUAUUCCCCUGUUUUCAAUGGGGUCCAUCUUUUCUUUGAUUCUUUCGUGGGCAAACGUUUUCAUUCACCAAAUAUGUAUAAUAAUUUUUUUUGUGCCCAGAUUUUCUUUCUUUUCUCCUGUUCCUUAUUUACCAUUUCAUGCACUUCAACAAUUCUUCCUCCUAGAUAUAGCAUCAAUAAAGCUCAAGAGAGAAUUAAUUCGGCUCAAAAUGGCAUUCAAGGGGUUAUUUUCUCAUCAAACAACAAAGAAGAAUCUGGGGCCCUAAGUCAAAGAAUCAUGCCCAAAUCAUACAAGUCAUGUACUAGCAAAAAUGAGUCCUCAAACAAAGUCAAGAUUUCCUAGUCACAGCAAAUUCUCUCAUAGACAUGCAUUCUUUUCAAUUUGGCCUUGAUCUCACCGGUGGGGUAUUUUCAGUAUCCUCACAACUACCAUCAUGCAUUUCAUACUCAAUCCACCAACCAUACCAAGACAGAAAUCAGCAUGCACAAUCUUUCACCAUCAACCAAUGCAAGUAGACUCGACCCAAGAACAGAUAAAACAGACGCUAAAACAAGAAAAAGCAAAAGAUAAAAUAAAAUCCUAAUCUACGAGUUCAGGGGAAAGUACUUAGUCAUUUUGGUCGGAGGAUCUCACCUCCGCAGCCAUCAUCUCUUUGAUUUCCUUAAAGCAAGCUUCCAUCGCUUUGAAUCCUUCCUCCACAGUGUCCCUCAGUGUGGCCACUUCUCCUCCCAGCAUCAC